ACGAACGCUGGCGGCAUGCCUAACACAUGCAAGUCGUACGUGAAAGUCUUCGGAUGAGUAAAGUGGCGCACGGGUGAGUAAUACAUGGGAAUGUACCUAUUGGUGGGGGAUAACUACGGGAAACCGUAGCUAAUACCGCAUGAGCUCUUGAGCAAAGAUGGCCUCUAUUUAUAAGCUAUCGCCGAUAGAUCAGCCCAUGUCCCAUUAGCUAGUUGGCAGGGUAAUAGCCUACCAAGGCUACGAUGGGUAGCGGGUCUGAGAGGACGAUCCGCCACACUGGGACUGAGACACGGCCCAGACUCCUACGGGGGGCAGCAGUGGGGAAUUUUGCACAAUGGACGAAAGUCUGAUGCAGCAAUGCCGCGUGAGUGAAGAAGGCCUUCGGGUUGUAAACCUCUUUCGACAGGGAAGAAGGGUAUGCUUGUGAACAAUUAGCGUACUGGACGGUACCUGUAUAAGAAGCACCGGCUAACUCCGUGCCAGCAGCCGCGGUAAUACGGAGGGUGCAAGCGUUGUUCGGAAUGACUGGGCGUAAAGAGCGCGUAGGCGGGUUCGUAUGUCAUCUGUGAAAGCCCCGGGCUUAACCUGGGAAUUGCAGGUGAAACUGCGAAUCUUGAAUACUGGAGGGGAUGGUGGAAUUCCUGGUGUAGAAGUGAAGUUCAUAGAUAUCAGGAGGAACACCUGAGGCGAAGGCGGCCAUCUGGCCAUGUAUUGACGCUGUGGCGCGAAAGCGUGGGUAGCAAACAGGAUUAGAUACCCUGGUAGUCCACGCCGUAAACGAUGGAUACUAGGUGUUCGGAGUAUUAACCCUCUGAGUACCGUAGUUCACGCAUUAAGUAUCCCGCCUGGGGAGUACGGUCGCAAGGCUAAAACUCAAAGGAAUUGACGGGGGCCCGCACAAGAGGUGGAGUAUGUGGUUUAAUUCGAAGCAACGCGCAGAACCUUACCUGGGCUUAACAUUUCGCGACAAUCUCAGAGAUGAGACUUUCUCUUCGGAGACGCGAGGAUAGGUGCUGCAUGGCUGUCGUCAGCUCGUGUCGUAGGAUGUUGGGUUAAGUCCCGCAACGAGCGCAACCCCUACCCUUAGUUACCAUCAUUAAGUUGGGGACUCUAAGGGGACCGCCGGUGUUAAACCGGAGGAAGGCGGGGAUGAUGUCAAGUCCUCAUGGCCCUUACGUCCAGGGCUACACACGUACUACAAUGGCAAGAACAAACCGUUGCGAAGCCGAAAGGUGGAGCUAAUCGGAAAAACAUUGUCUCAGUCCGGAUUGAAGUCUGCAACUCGACUUCAUGAAGCUGGAAUCUCUAGUAAUCGUAGAUCAGCACGCUACGGUGAAUACGUUCCCGGGCCUUGCACACACCGC
RNAcentral lists this ribosomal RNA (1364 nucleotides) under uncultured bacterium. RNAcentral describes it as "bacterial SSU rRNA". It matches the Rfam family "Bacterial small subunit ribosomal RNA", at positions 29 to 1393 of the family's 1533-position model. The record is from RNAcentral.